Molecule: ribosomal RNA, 697 nt
Filed under: Escherichia coli
Lineage: Bacteria; Pseudomonadati; Pseudomonadota; Gammaproteobacteria; Enterobacterales; Enterobacteriaceae
Description: partial 23S ribosomal RNA
Rfam family: Bacterial large subunit ribosomal RNA
Source: RNAcentral
UGCGUACCUUUUGUAUAAUGGGUCAGCGACUUAUAUUCUGUAGCAAGGUUAACCGAAUAGGGGAGCCGAAGGGAAACCGAGUCUUAACUGGGCGUUAAGUUGCAGGGUAUAGACCCGAAACCCGGUGAUCUAGCCAUGGGCAGGUUGAAGGUUGGGUAACACUAACUGGAGGACCGAACCGACUAAUGUUGAAAAAUUAGCGGAUGACUUGUGGCUGGGGGUGAAAGGCCAAUCAAACCGGGAGAUAGCUGGUUCUCCCCGAAAGCUAUUUAGGUAGCGCCUCGUGAAUUCAUCUCCGGGGGUAGAGCACUGUUUCGGCAAGGGGGUCAUCCCGACUUACCAACCCGAUGCAAACUGCGAAUACCGGAGAAUGUUAUCACGGGAGACACACGGCGGGUGCUAACGUCCGUCGUGAAGAGGGAAACAACCCAGACCGCCAGCUAAGGUCCCAAAGUCAUGGUUAAGUGGGAAACGAUGUGGGAAGGCCCAGACAGCCAGGAUGUUGGCUUAGAAGCAGCCAUCAUUUAAAGAAAGCGUAAUAGCUCACUGGUCGAGUCGGCCUGCGCGGAAGAUGUAACGGGGCUAAACCAUGCACCGAAGCUGCGGCAGCGACGCUUAUGCGUUGUUGGGUAGGGGAGCGUUCUGUAAGCCUGUGAAGGUGUACUGUGAGGUAUGCUGGAGGUAUCAGAAGUGCGAA